Molecule: ribosomal RNA, 522 nt
Filed under: Triticum aestivum (bread wheat)
Lineage: Eukaryota; Viridiplantae; Streptophyta; Magnoliopsida; Poales; Poaceae
Description: partial small subunit ribosomal RNA
Source: RNAcentral
AUGUUACACACAUGCGCAAAGAAACUGCACUUCCCUUCACACCGGCACAUUGACAAAUACACCAGAGAGCUGGUAUCUCAACUGCGUCAGAAUAAUGUCAACCUCAGCAAAGUUUACAGCAUAAUUGACACUUUUUUUGGUCGCAUAGAGAAUGUUUCUUUCACCAAGAGAUGCCCGAGGACCUUGUGCGCGAAACUAAGCAGAUACAAGGCAGAUGAGGAUGUUAAGAAGACAAUGGAUUAUUUUGCUGAGCUGAAGCAGUCUAACCCUGAAUUCACUUAUACAGUUCGUGUAGACAGUGAGAGUAGAGUUAGAACACUGAUAUGGACAACUGGGAAGAGCAAAUUACAGUACCACUACUUUGGUGAUGUUGUUAUGUUUGAUACUACCUACAGGACAAAUCUAUACAACAUGCCAUUCGGACUAUUCGUUUGUGUCAACAACCAUUUCCAGAGUGUCAUAUACGUAGGCGUACUUAUGCGUGAUGAGAAAGUAGAGAGCUUUAACUGGGUUUUUUGGUAA